UACGGAGGGGGCUAGCGUUGUUCGGAAUUACUGGGCGUAAAGCGCACGUAGGCGGAUCUUUAAGUCAGGGGUGAAAUCCCGGAGCUCAACUCCGGAACUGCCUUUGAUACUGGGAAUCUUGAGUUCGAGAGAGGUGAGUGGAACUGCGAGUGUAGAGGUGAAAUUCGUAGAUAUUCGCAAGAACACCAGUGGCGAAGGCGGCUCACUGGCUCGAUACUGACGCUGAGGUGCGAAAGCGUGGGGAGCAAACAGG
RNAcentral lists this ribosomal RNA (253 nucleotides) under uncultured bacterium. RNAcentral describes it as "partial 16S ribosomal RNA". It matches the Rfam family "Bacterial small subunit ribosomal RNA", at positions 524 to 776 of the family's 1533-position model. The record is from RNAcentral.